This 379-nucleotide ribosomal RNA is filed under the name uncultured eukaryote. RNAcentral's name for it is "partial 18S ribosomal RNA". It matches the Rfam family "Eukaryotic small subunit ribosomal RNA", at positions 592 to 975 of the family's 1831-position model. The record is from RNAcentral.
CAAUAGCGUAUAUUAAAGUUGUUGCGGUUAAAAAGCUCGUAGUUGGAUUUCUGCCGAGGACGACCGGUCCGCCCUCUGGGUGAGUAUCUGGCUCGGCCUGGGCAUCUUCUUGGAGAACGUAGCUGCACUUGAUUGUGUGGUGCGGUAUCCAGGACUUUUACUUUGAGGAAAUUAGAGUGUUUCAAGCAGGCUUACGCCUUGAAUACAUUAGCAUGGAAUAAUAAGAUAGGACCUCGGUUCUAUUUUGUUGGUUUCUAGAGCUGAGGUAAUGAUUAAUAGGGAUAGUUGGGGGCAUUCGUAUUUAACUGUCAGAGGUGAAAUUCUUGGAUUUGUUAAAGACGGACUACUGCGAANGNAUUUGCNAAGGAUGUUUNCAUUG